UCUAUCGCAACUCAUUUUUUUAAAUCUGUAUAAGAGCAUCAGUUUCCUUAAUGAAAUUGGGGGCAGAGCCUCCUGAACUUUACAAAAAAAUUAAACACCUGCCUCUAUGGAUUCAGUUCUCCUGGAGACCCUACCUACCUGAACGAGGGAGCAGCCGAGAACAAAAUUGAGGAAAGAAGAAGAAAGAAAUUGUAGCGAGUAGAGUGGGAAAUUACAUGAACCAUUGAGCUCAAGAGCCAUCAACUUGUGCUGCUAGCUCAAUGGUGCCAAAAAAUGUUACCCGAAAGAGAACUUACGUAGAUUUUUUUCAUCGCCC
Phragmites australis (common reed) is the source of this 316-nucleotide long non-coding RNA. RefSeq lists it as uncharacterized. Lineage: Eukaryota; Viridiplantae; Streptophyta; Magnoliopsida; Poales; Poaceae. The record is from RefSeq and is a predicted model, not a curated record. The transcript has 3 exons.